GUAAAUGAGAAAUUUAGUAUUUUAAGCAUAUCAUAUUAAGAUUUAUGCCAAUUAUAUAAAACUCAAUUCUAGAGACUAUUAUAGUUGAUUAAAUCACUGAGAUUUGUGAUUGAACCAUACUAACUGUAUUUAAAAGUCUGUAUCAUAGCUUUUCACUUGAGUCUAUUAAAUUUUCAUGUCAAUUUUCCAGGCAUUUUGACCAUAAUUCAGUGAGCAACAGGACUCUUAAAUCCUUGGAACAGAGAAAGGCCUUCUAAAUUAAAGAGCAUAUUUUAAUCAACAUACAGUUAACAAAGACUUACUUGCUAAUUUAGACUUCUGAUCAGAAUUACUUGCAUAUGGUUUUGUUUUGAAAUCUAAAAGGCAUUGGCUAUAAAAUAAGAUGUGAAAGUGAAUACCAACAUCAGUCUUUCACAUAGGCACAGAAAUGAUCUAUGUCAAAUUCUGAUUUGAGUGACUCAGGAAUAAUAUAGAAUUUACCUUAAGGCUAAUGCCAGAAAGUGGCUGAAAAUAUUUUACUGGUUCAGGUGGUCCCAAUCCAUUAAAAUCCUCCAAACAGAGGAGCUAAGGUGUCGUAGUCUCUAUCAUCUCUAUCAUCUCGAGUGAAAAUGGGCCAAGGUAAAUAAGAUUUUCCUAAUAUUUCAUAUUUUUUCAACCAGCUAUGGCUACACUGAAGUAGUAUUACCAUGAUAGCCUUUAUUCAUUGUAGAAAAGUUGAAGUUAUUGAAAAUUUAGUACAAGACAGGACCAUCUGCAUUGCAUGAUUCAGUUUAUCUUCAGAGAUGAUUGACUAUUUUAGUUUGGGACAUAAAAUUAAUGCAGCGCAAGAUUCAUCUCCCAUGAAAUUUUUUCCACCUCUGUGAGAGAGAAAUCAUUCUUUUUGGGUUUAAAGGCAUCAAGAGGCAAAUGAAAAAAAAAAGCACACUAAAGCUGAAUUGCUUUUCUCAUUGAUAGGAGAAUCGUGCACAGCUUCUACUUUUACUGUACACAGAUAACAAAAUGAAGGAACUACUUUUACAGGUCCUGAUUCCGAGAAGUGAAAUUUGGUGGCGUGAGAAGGAAAAACAACACAGAAAGAAGCAAACCUCACGAUGGCCAUUUGAACACAAUCGGAGCUUGUUUACUGCUGUGGACUUGGAACUUCCUCUGAAAAAAAAAUGCAUGCGAUUAGGAAAAUAACUAAGCAGCUAAGAAUAGUCCUCUGAAACCUGAGAGCCACCUCUCUUCUUUCUCACUCCUGGCAGUGCAGUUAGCAAGAAUGUAUGUUUUUAAUACGCUGAUUCUUAGCCACAAAAUACUUCUAUAAUUAGUACAAAACUUGAAUAAUGUAUUGUCUGUUAUUGUGCACAGCACAUAAUAUUUGGAGACUUGUACUGGCAGAUUCGUUCACAUAUGUCACCACGGUACCUGUAAUUUAGUUUAAUGCCAGGUCAAUGUUCAAAGUGCCUGUGUGUGUGUGUGUGUGUGUGUGUAUUUAAAGUUUUACCUGAUAGUUAUUUCAUGAGGCUUCUCAGUAGCUUUCUGAAGUAGUGUCCAUUUUAAGGAAAACGUAAUCAGUCAAAAUGACAAUUUCUUGCAGGAAUGCACAAUAUUCUUUAUUCACACAAGGGCAUUGAGUGGUGCAUCAAUGGCUCACCAACUAGGAAAUUAUUUAAUAAUUAUCCCUAAAAAGGGCAAGACUGGGUGAAUGUGCAAUUAGCAAUCCAGGGUCUUGCCCAGAAAAGUGCUAUCUUUUGAGCAAGUCUCACCAAAUCAGGAUCUGAAAUCAGUCUGCAAGACACAGUGAGGUGUUACAGAGAAGCCUAGCAAAUCCU
This 1814-nucleotide long non-coding RNA is filed under the name Oryctolagus cuniculus (rabbit). RNAcentral describes it as "lncRNA (ENSOCUG00000031048.1)". The record is from RNAcentral. Lineage: Eukaryota; Metazoa; Chordata; Mammalia; Lagomorpha; Leporidae.